AUCCAGACUCCUACGGGAGGCAGCAGUGGGGAAUAUUGCACAAUGGGGGAAACCCUGAUGCAGCGACGCCGCAUGAGCGAUGAAGUAUUUCGGUAUGUAAAGCUCUAUCAGCAGGGAAGAAAAUGACGGUACCUGACUAAGAAGCCCCGGCUAACUACGUGCCAGCAGCCGCGGUAAUACGUAGGGGGCAAGCGUUAUCCGGAUUUACUGGGUGUAAAGGGAGCGUAGACGGCUGUGCAAGCCAGAUGUGAAAGCCCGGGGCUCAACCCCGGGACUGCAUUUGGAACUGUGUGGCUGGAGUGUCGGAGAGGCAGGCGGAAUUCCUAGUGUAGCGGUGAAAUGCGUAGAUAUUAGGAGGAACACCAGUGGCGAAGGCGGCCUGCUGGACGAUGACUGACGUUGAGGCUCGAAAGCGUGGGGAGCAAACAGGAUUAGAUACCCCCGUAA
Molecule: ribosomal RNA, 447 nt
Filed under: uncultured bacterium
Lineage: Bacteria
Description: bacterial SSU rRNA
Rfam family: Bacterial small subunit ribosomal RNA
Source: RNAcentral